Molecule: non-coding RNA, 235 nt
Organism: Mesocricetus auratus (golden hamster)
Lineage: Eukaryota; Metazoa; Chordata; Mammalia; Rodentia; Cricetidae
Source: Rfam
GCAGGUGUCCCCUUCUUCCCUCACUGCUCCGUGUGCAUCCCCCCUGAUGCUGCUGGCUCAGUUCUCUAGUUGCACAGAGAGAUCUUCCCGAAAUAGAGGACUGAUCUUCAGUCAAGGGUAUACCAGAAGCUGCGCUCCCCUGCUGGAACCUCCAAACAAUCUCUCAGUGAAUAUUUUUUAAAAGGGAUGGCAUAGCAGAGAUUCUUCUGGUCCAGUGAGUCUCCAGCUACUUUCU